CCUACGGGGCGCAGCAGUGAGGAAUAUUGGUCAAUGGUCGGGAGACUGAACCAGCCAAGCCGCGUGAGGGAGGAAGGUACAGAGUAUCGUAAACCUCUUUUGUCAGGGGACAAAGACUGGGACGCGUCCCCGGAUGAGUGUACCUGAAGAAAAAGCAUCGGCUAACUCCGUGCCAGCAGCCGCGGUAAUACGGAGGAUGCGAGCGUUAUCCGGAUUUAUUGGGUUUAAAGGGUGCGCAGGCGGACUGUCAAGUCAGCGGUCAAAUCGCGGGGCUCAACCUCGCUCCGCCGUUGAAACUGGCGUUC
Molecule: ribosomal RNA, 305 nt
Filed under: uncultured bacterium
Lineage: Bacteria
Description: bacterial SSU rRNA
Rfam family: Bacterial small subunit ribosomal RNA
Source: RNAcentral